RNAcentral lists this long non-coding RNA (402 nucleotides) under Musa acuminata (dwarf banana). RNAcentral describes it as "long non-coding RNA (MACU_LNC003813)". Lineage: Eukaryota; Viridiplantae; Streptophyta; Magnoliopsida; Zingiberales; Musaceae. The record is from RNAcentral.
GUAAAUUAAGAUGACCACCACCCGAACUACUUAACUCCUGUGUAAUCACAACAUGAUGCGUUGAAUUCAAUAGGGUGGAUUCGACUCUGAUGCUGUGGCAACCGCAAACAUCUUGGAGACCUCCACACCAGUGAUCGACGGGAAGAAAUACUACUUCAUCUCGGUUCUGACGAGGACGGCCGACGGAGACGAGGGCGGGAAGCAUCAGCUCAUAACAGCGACUGUCUCCGGUGGUAAGCUUUACAUCUGCAAGGCGCAAGCUGGUGACAAGAGAUGGUUCAAGGGUGCCAGGAAGUUCGUGGAAAGCGCAGCGAGUUCCUUCAGCGUUGCAUAAGAAAAUUCCCUCGCGGGCCUUGAAUUCCUGCUGCUGUGAACGAGUUGAAUGCUGCUGCGACUGCCAAU